Molecule: transfer RNA, 74 nt
Filed under: Pseudomonadota bacterium
Lineage: Bacteria; Pseudomonadati; Pseudomonadota
Also listed under: 1 other name
Description: tRNA-Val
Rfam family: tRNA
About the family: Transfer RNA (tRNA) molecules are approximately 80 nucleotides in length. Their secondary structure includes four short double-helical elements and three loops (D, anti-codon, and T loops).
Source: RNAcentral
GGGCGCUUAGCUCAGCUGGUUAGAGCGUACGGUUCACAUCCGUAAGGUCAGGGGUUCAAGUCCCUUAGCGCCCA